RNAcentral lists this ribosomal RNA (779 nucleotides) under uncultured bacterium. RNAcentral describes it as "bacterial SSU rRNA". It matches the Rfam family "Bacterial small subunit ribosomal RNA", at positions 135 to 925 of the family's 1533-position model. The record is from RNAcentral.
UCACUGGGAUAACCCCGGGAAACCGGAGCUAAUACCGGAUACUCCGGCUGGAUCGCAUGGUCCGGCCGGGAAAGGUCCGCCGGAGAGGGAUGGGCCCGCGGCCUAUCAGCUUGUUGGUGGGGUAACGGCUCACCAAGGCGACGACGGGUAGCUGGUCUGAGAGGACGACCAGCCACACUGGAACUGAGAUACGGUCCAGACUCCUACGGGAGGCAGCAGUGGGGAAUAUUGCGCAAUGGGCGAAAGCCUGACGCAGCGACGCCGCGUGGGGGAUGAAUGCCUUCGGGUUGUAAACCCCUUUCGGCAGGGACGAAGCGAACGUGACGGUACCUGCAGAAGAAGUCCCGGCUAACUACGUGCCAGCAGCCGCGGUAAGACGUAGGGGACGAGCGUUGUCCGGAUUCAUUGGGCGUAAAGCGCGCGUAGGCGGUCACGCAAGUCGGUUGUGAAAAUCCGGGGCUCAACCCCGGACCUGCAUCCGAUACUGCGUGACUAGAGGUAGGUAGGGGAGAUCGGAAUUCCUGGUGUAGCGGUGAAAUGCGCAGAUAUCAGGAGGAACACCGGUGGCGAAGGCGGAUCUCUGGGCCUUACCUGACGCUGAGGCGCGAAAGCUAGGGGAGCGAACAGGAUUAGAUACCCUGGUAGUCCUAGCCGUAAACGUUGGAUGCUAGGUGUGGGGGGACAUCGACCCCUUCCGUGCCGAAGCUAACGCAUUAAGCAUCCCGCCUGGGGAGUACGGCCGCAAGGCUAAAACUCAAAGGAAUUGACGGAAUCGAAUU